Telopea speciosissima is the source of this 181-nucleotide long non-coding RNA. RefSeq lists it as uncharacterized. Lineage: Eukaryota; Viridiplantae; Streptophyta; Magnoliopsida; Proteales; Proteaceae. The record is from RefSeq and is a predicted model, not a curated record. The transcript has 3 exons.
UGGUAAUGAUGAUAGUUGGAGAUGAAGAUAGAUAGAUGGCAGCCUAGAGUCCCACUAGUUGCCAAGCCAUAGAGUCCCACCUAGGCACACAUAACCUUGGCAAGCUAGAGUCCAACUAGUUGCCUCGCUGUAGGAGUCUCACCUAAGCACACUUGAGUCACACAGACAAAAUAAAAUUCAG